This 729-nucleotide ribosomal RNA is filed under the name uncultured archaeon. Its description in RNAcentral is "bacterial SSU rRNA". It matches the Rfam family "Archaeal small subunit ribosomal RNA", at positions 52 to 782 of the family's 1478-position model. The record is from RNAcentral.
UGCUAGUUGCACGGGUUUAGACCCGUAGCAGAAAGCUCAGUAACACGUGGCCAAACUGCCCUAUGGACAAGAACAACCUCGGGAAACUGAGGCUAAUUCUUGAUACAGCUCUCCUGCUGGAGUGCAGAGAGCUGGAAACGCUCCGGCGCCAUAGGAUGUGGCUGCGGCCGAUUAGGUAGACGGUGGGGUAACGGCCCACCGUGCCGAUAAUCGGUACGGGUUGUGAGAGCAAGAGCCCGGAGACGGUAUCUGAGACAAGAUACCGGGCCCUACGGGGCGCAGCAGGCGCGAAACCUUUACACUGCACGACAGUGCGAUAGGGGGACUCCGAGUGCGAGGGCAUAUAGCCCUCGCUUUUCUGUACCCUAAGGUGGUACAGGAACAAGUGCUGGGCAAGACCGGUGCCAGCCGCCGCGGUAAUACCGGCAGCACGAGUGAUGGCCGAUAUUAUUGGGCCUAAAGCGUCCGUAGCUGGCCAGACAAGUCCGUUGGGAAAUCGACGUGCCUAACACGUCGGCGUCCGGCGGAAACUGUUUGGCUUGGAGCCGGAAGACCCGAGGGGUACGUCCGGGGUAGGAGUGAAAUCCCGUAAUCCUGGACGGACCACCGAUGGCGAAAGCACCUCGGGAAGACGGACUCGACAGUGAGGGACGAAAGCUGGGGUCUCGAACCGGAUUAGAUACCCGGGUAGUCCCAGCUGUAAACGAUGCUCGCUAGGUGUGGCGUAGG